Molecule: long non-coding RNA, 701 nt
Organism: Gavialis gangeticus (Gharial)
Lineage: Eukaryota; Metazoa; Chordata; Crocodylia; Gavialidae
Exons: 2
Source: RefSeq, a predicted model, not a curated record
GUAGUGUCUGAUAUUAGCCCCUAUGUGGAAGGUAGGUUCAUUAAGGCAGAGAAGACUACUUUGUUUUGUGUUUUUGCUCUCAUUACAGUGAUAAGAUGCAUAAUAAAUAUCAAUUAUUUUGUGAGCUUGUACUCAAGGUGAUAUUGCUGUACAUCUGUUUUGCUACUUCAAGUGUCAUUUAGUUAAAGCCAAGCUGUUUAUAAAAUGUUUUUUUUUCUUCAGGGUCAAUUUUGUACUUUUUUUUUUAUUUCUGCAUUUACUGAGUCAUUAUCUCAAUGCUGCAGAGAACACAGCAGGCAGAGCAGUGAGCACACCCACAGUGUUAUCAACAGCCCGCUGUGCCAGGGAGCUGGAAUCGCUGCAUGCACUGAGCUGAGGCACACAGCUGUCUUUGGAAAUCAGUGGUUCCAGUUGCCCAGCCCUCUGUCCAAGCACCGCAUUAUCUGGGUGCAGAGUGGAGUGGUGGCAGCAGGAAUUGAUGUGGGGGGUGGGGUUUGCUGCCGUAUCUGCUGCUAGUUCUGAGUAAUUUGUAAUGUGACCUAAAUUUUGUAAACUUUUUAAUGUGCUAAAAACUUGGUGAUAAUUGCUAAGAAGGGGUAAUUUGUGUACCUGUACUCCUUGUUGGUCCCUACAUGAGGUCCAAUUCACUGGUCUAAUAGUUGUUAAAUCUUUAAUGAAAAGAAUAAAUACGUUCUAAUGUA